ACAAAUAAGUUCGUAAAACAA
This 21-nucleotide small nuclear RNA is filed under the name Arabidopsis thaliana (thale cress). RNAcentral describes it as "snRNA_16229". The record is from RNAcentral. Lineage: Eukaryota; Viridiplantae; Streptophyta; Magnoliopsida; Brassicales; Brassicaceae.